CAAAGUUAUAAAAAACAUUAUGUUGUAGUUUAGUUGUUGUUAUUGAGUUUGAGUUUGAGUUUGAGAUUGAUAUUUAUAUUGAGAUUAUGUUUUUGUGAUUCUUUGUGCAAUUCUUAUCUUGUUUUGUCUAGUUGAGUUUAUUAUAUUUAAUGUUGAUUAUUUGUUUCACUAACCCCUCUUUGAAUAUAUAAUUUAUUAAAUUGAUUUU
This 208-nucleotide long non-coding RNA is filed under the name Lathyrus oleraceus (garden pea). Its description in RNAcentral is "Pisum sativum (pea) long non-coding RNA (PSAT_LNC038062)". Lineage: Eukaryota; Viridiplantae; Streptophyta; Magnoliopsida; Fabales; Fabaceae. The record is from RNAcentral.